This 253-nucleotide ribosomal RNA is filed under the name uncultured bacterium. RNAcentral describes it as "partial 16S ribosomal RNA". It matches the Rfam family "Bacterial small subunit ribosomal RNA", at positions 524 to 776 of the family's 1533-position model. The record is from RNAcentral.
UACGUAGGGUGCAAGCGUUGUCCGGAAUUACUGGGUGUAAAGGGAGCGCAGGCGGGAAGACAAGUUGGAAGUGAAAACCAUGGGCUCAACCCAUGAAUUGCUUUCAAAACUGUUUUUCUUGAGUAGUGCAGAGGUAGAUGGAAUUCCCGGUGUAGCGGUGGAAUGCGUAGAUAUCGGGAGGAACACCAGUGGCGAAGGCGGUCUACUGGGCACCAACUGACGCUGAGGCUCGAAAGCAUGGGUAGCAAACAGG